RNAcentral lists this ribosomal RNA (368 nucleotides) under uncultured organism. Its description in RNAcentral is "bacterial SSU rRNA". It matches the Rfam family "Bacterial small subunit ribosomal RNA", at positions 526 to 896 of the family's 1533-position model. The record is from RNAcentral.
CGUAGGUGGCAAGCGUUGUCCGGAUUUAUUGGGUUUAAAGGGUGCGUAGGUGGUCUUGUAAGUCAGUGGUGAAAUACGGCAGCUCAACUGUCGAGGUGCCAUUGAUACUGCAAGACUUGAGUACAGACGAGGUAGGCGGAAUUGACGGUGUAGCGGUGAAAUGCUUAGAUAUCGUCAAGAACACCGAUAGCGAAGGCAGCUUACUAGACUGUAACUGACACUGAGGCACGAAAGUGUGGGGAUCAAACAGGAUUAGAUACCCUGGUAGUCCACACUGUAAACGAUGAUUACUCGAUGUUGGCGAUACACAGCCAGCGUCUUAGCGAAAGCGAUAAGUAAUCCACCUGGGGAGUACGCCCGCAAGGGUG